This 506-nucleotide ribosomal RNA is filed under the name uncultured bacterium. RNAcentral describes it as "partial 16S ribosomal RNA". It matches the Rfam family "Bacterial small subunit ribosomal RNA", at positions 28 to 507 of the family's 1533-position model. The record is from RNAcentral.
GACGAACGCUGGCGGCGUGCUUAACACAUGCAAGUCGAACGGUGAAGGGACUGGUUUUGCUGGUCCUGGAUGAGUGGCGAACGGGUGAGUAACACGUGAGUAACCUGCCCCCUUCUUCUGGAUAACCGCAUGAAAGUGUGGCUAAUACGGGAUAUUCUGGGUCUGUCGCAUGGUGGGCCUGGGAAAGAUUGCGCCUUUUUUGGUGUUUUUGGUGGGGGAUGGGCUCGCGGCCUAUCAGCUUGUUGGUGGGGUGAUGGCCUACCAAGGCGGUGACGGGUAGCCGGCCUGAGAGGGUGGACGGUCACACUGGGACUGAGACACGGCCCAGACUCCUACGGGAGGCAGCAGUGGGGAAUAGUGCACAAUGGGCGCAAGCCGGAUGCAGCGACGCCGCGUGAGGGAUGGAGGCCUUCGGGUUGUGAACCUCUUUCGCCAGUGAAGCAGGCCUGCCUCUUUUUGUGGGUGGGUUGACGGUAGCUGGAGAAGAAGCGCCGGCUAACUACGUG